RNAcentral lists this ribosomal RNA (484 nucleotides) under uncultured bacterium. Its description in RNAcentral is "partial 16S ribosomal RNA". It matches the Rfam family "Bacterial small subunit ribosomal RNA", at positions 29 to 507 of the family's 1533-position model. The record is from RNAcentral.
AGUGAACGCUGGCGGCAGGCCUAACACAUGCAAGUCGAGCGGCAGCGCGGGGGCAACCCUGGCGGCGCGCGGCGGACGGGUGAGGAAUUCGUCGGAAGCUGCCUUUUCGUUGGGGAUAACGUAGGGAAACUUACGCUAAUACCGCAUACGUCCUACUGGAGAAAGUGGGGGACCGCAAGGCCUCACGCAGAAAGAUGAGCCGACGACCGAUUAGCUAGUUGGUGGGGUAAAGGCCCACCAAGGCGACGAUCGGUAGCUGGUCUGCGAGGAUGAUCAGCCACACUGGGACUGAGACACGGCCCAGACUCCUACGGGAGGCAGCAGUGGGGAAUAUUGGACAAUGGGCGCAAGCCUGAUCCAGCCAUGCCGCGUGUGUGAAGAAGGCCUUCGGGUUGUAAAGCACUUUUGUCCGGAAAGAAAUCCCUGGAGCUAAUACCUUCGGGGGAUGACGGUACCGGAAGAAUAAGCACCGGCUAACUUCGUG